Molecule: ribosomal RNA, 497 nt
Filed under: uncultured bacterium
Lineage: Bacteria
Description: partial 16S ribosomal RNA
Rfam family: Bacterial small subunit ribosomal RNA
Source: RNAcentral
GAUGAACGCUGGCGGCGUGCCUAAUACAUGCAAGUCGAGCGAACAGAUGCGGAGCUUGCUCCUCUGACGUUAGCGGCGGACGGGUGAGUAACACGUGGAUACCCUACCUCUCAGACUGGGAUAACUUCGGGAAACCGGAGCUAAUACCGGAUAAUAUAUUUAACCGCAUGGUUCAGUAGUGAAAGACGGUUUUGCUGUAACUUAUAGAUUGUUCCGCGCCGCAUUAGCUAGUUGGUAAGGUAACGGCUUACCAAGGCAACGAUGCGUAGCCGACCUGAGAGGGGGAUCGGCCACACUGGAACUGAGACACGGUCCAGACUCCUACGGGAGGCAGCAGUAGGGAAUCUUCCGCAAUGGGCGAAAGCCUGACGGAGCAACGCCGCGUGAGUGAUGAAGGUCUUCGGAGCGUAAAACUCUGUUAUUAGGGAAGAACAAAUGUGUAAGGAAAUAUGCACGUCGUGACGGUACCUAAUCAGAAAGCCACGGCUAACUACGUG